Molecule: long non-coding RNA, 253 nt
Filed under: Elaeis guineensis (African oil palm)
Lineage: Eukaryota; Viridiplantae; Streptophyta; Magnoliopsida; Arecales; Arecaceae
Description: long non-coding RNA (EGUI_LNC075984)
Source: RNAcentral
GCUGUUCUUCCUUCCUUGACGGCUCUGGUUGUGGUAGGGCCCUCGAUCGAUCUUCCCAACCUUCAGGCCAGUGUCGGAUGAAUCUGUUGAGCCGACCUCAUCUGAUGAGCUCCUCGAUCUUGUCUCAGAGCUGAAUACACUCCUCCAUGUCGUGGCCAUGGUCAUGAUGAUAGAGACAGAAUUUGUUAGGAUUGUGCUUCUCGAGGUAUGUGCACAUCUUUUUCGGCCUUGGCAGCUGCUCCCUGAUCUCCAU